GGCGAACGGGUGAGUAACACGUGAGUAACCUGCCCUUGGCUUUGGGAUAACUUCAGGAAACUGGGGCUGAUACCGGAUAGGAGCUCCUGCUGCAUGGUGGGGGUUGGGAAAGGUCUCGGCGGCUGGGGAUGGACUCGCGGCUUAUCAGCUUGUUGGUGGGGUAGUGGCUUACCAAGGCUUUGACGGGUAGCCGGCCUGAGAGGGUGACCGGCCACAUUGGGACUGAGAUACGGCCCAG
This 238-nucleotide ribosomal RNA is filed under the name uncultured Actinomycetales bacterium. RNAcentral's name for it is "partial 16S ribosomal RNA". It matches the Rfam family "Bacterial small subunit ribosomal RNA", at positions 97 to 334 of the family's 1533-position model. The record is from RNAcentral. Lineage: Bacteria; Bacillati; Actinomycetota; Actinomycetes; Actinomycetales.